UACGAAGGGGGCUAGCGUUGCUCGGAAUCACUGGGCGUAAAGGGUGCGUAGGCGGGUUUCUAAGUCAGAGGUGAAAUCCUGGAGCUCAACUCCAGAACUGCCUUUGAUACUGGAAGUCUUGAGUAUGGGAGAGGUGAGUGGAACUGCGAGUGUAGAGGUGAAAUUCGUAGAUAUUCGCAAGAACACCAGUGGCGAAGGCGGCUCACUGGCCCAUAACUGACGCUGAGGCACGAAAGCGUGGGGAGCAAACAGG
Molecule: ribosomal RNA, 253 nt
Filed under: uncultured bacterium
Lineage: Bacteria
Description: partial 16S ribosomal RNA
Rfam family: Bacterial small subunit ribosomal RNA
Source: RNAcentral